AAUUUGCAUUUCAAUUUAGAAACACAAAUCAUGUGUGGUAUGUUUUAACUCAUACAUAACUUGUGUCUCUUAGAUCAAAUGUGAGU
This 86-nucleotide microRNA precursor is filed under the name Drosophila pseudoobscura. RNAcentral describes it as "microRNA dps-mir-2566a precursor (dps-mir-2566a-2)". It matches the Rfam family "mir-2566 microRNA precursor family". The record is from miRBase by way of RNAcentral. RNAcentral also lists the same sequence under 1 other name. Lineage: Eukaryota; Metazoa; Arthropoda; Insecta; Diptera; Drosophilidae.